Molecule: non-coding RNA, 166 nt
Organism: Clostridium sp.
Lineage: Bacteria; Bacillati; Bacillota; Clostridia; Eubacteriales; Clostridiaceae
Source: Rfam
UAAUAAUGUACGUUAGGUGAGGCUCCUAUAUAGAUAUACGCUACUGCCCGGAAACAUCGAGAGAUGCCAAUGGGUUACCAGGUAUUACCGAAAUAAGGUUUUACUUAAUGUAGCUGGCUUUGGUCCAAAGCUAUAUAGUGCUAAAACUCAACGAUUGAUGUUAAAG